RNAcentral lists this long non-coding RNA (871 nucleotides) under Linum usitatissimum (flax). RNAcentral describes it as "long non-coding RNA (LUSI_LNC003350)". Lineage: Eukaryota; Viridiplantae; Streptophyta; Magnoliopsida; Malpighiales; Linaceae. The record is from RNAcentral.
AACCGUAUGUAUGAUUUGCGAAACAAUGAAACUGCGAAGUUGUAAUUUACCUAUGGGCUACAGCUUUAAUCAUAUGCGUAUAAGAAAUUACUGAGUUGUGAUUUACCUAUGUCUCUGAAAUAAUUUUCAUAGACAAGGUCGACGAUUUGCCUGAACGAGAACCAAGGCAAAAUUUGCGACUUUUUUACUAUUUCUAUUGUGAUUGGCAUUCUCGAUCUCGCAAAGGGAUAAGGUAGAAUAUCCAGAUCAGAGGUCCCAUAAGAUCUGUGAUGUCAGCCAUGACGUUUCGCCAUUUAGCUCCAAUGCUCUCAACUUCGAUUCCUGCGCAUAUAUAGGGCUUCUUUGCAUCACUCCACAUACGAGAAAAAUCAAGAAAAAAUGGCAGAGGAAAUCAAGCUGCUUGGAACCUGGGCCAGUCUCUACAGCCGGAGAAUCGAACUAGUCCUCAAACUCAAAGGAUUACAGUUCCAAUACGUGGAAGAAGACCUCUCCAACAAGAGCGAUCUUCUCAUCAACUCCAACCCAGUUCACAAGAAGAUCCCUGUCUUCUUCCACAACGGCAAGCCGAUUUCAGAGUCGCUAAUCAUUAUACAGUACAUCGAUGAGACAUGGGAUCACACCCCAGUCCUCCUUCCUAAAGAUCCUUGCCAAAGAGCUACUUCUCGAUUCUGGGCGAAGUUCGUUGACGAAAAGGUAAACUGAGAUAAGCUAGCUAUUCUUCACCAUUCUGUUUUACUUUUAUAGCGUUUGGCAGGGGAGGGAAUCAGGUCAAUAGGUCAAAUCAGAAUUUCUCGUAAAAUCUGAAAAUUCGAAACACUAUAUUUUGCAAACCCAAAUCUAAUCAAAAUUCUAUUUAAUUAACAGGUUUUUG